GCGAGUAUGGGCAGAAAGAUGGUGAUGGUGGCUGGAUUACUAGCGACUUCAGUGAUGGAUGUAACAAUCAGACAGGCAAUAGUGACAAUGGCCAAUACUGGGAGAUUGCCCAGUGGACUCAUUAAUUCUGCAACCCAGGAGGAUAAACCAGAUACCUGUAGGUUGAAUGGCAGAACAGCACACUUACUCAGGAAACAGAGAUGCCCAGCCUGGCAUGAAGCCAGGAUCUCGCAUGAACCACAGCACUGCCAUCAGCACAAAAAUAACAAGGGUGAUCAUCUCCUGUCGGCUGGUGGGAGAAAAUAAAUGAGAAUCGCCUCCUCUGGAACGCCGCAUACAAUUGAAACUGGAAAAACAGCAAGGAAUACUCAGUUAGGCAGGAUAUAAAAUUUGCUAGUAAUGUCUAGGGUCACUUAUUGCAGAUAUUUAGUUUGCCAGCUAUAUGUAUAAUUAAAGAGAAUCUUACUGGAAUCUUAAAGGAAUUGUGUUGCAUUGGAGGAGAUAAAACGUAGAAAAAUAGUGUAAAAGAAUGAGAACUA
Molecule: long non-coding RNA, 539 nt
Organism: Trichomycterus rosablanca
Lineage: Eukaryota; Metazoa; Chordata; Actinopteri; Siluriformes; Trichomycteridae
Exons: 3
Source: RefSeq, a predicted model, not a curated record